RNAcentral lists this ribosomal RNA (255 nucleotides) under uncultured bacterium. Its description in RNAcentral is "partial 16S ribosomal RNA". It matches the Rfam family "Bacterial small subunit ribosomal RNA", at positions 524 to 776 of the family's 1533-position model. The record is from RNAcentral.
GACAGAGGGUGCAAACGUUGUUCGGAAUUACUGGGCGUAAAGCGAGUGUAGGCGGUUCGCUAAGUCGGAUGUGAAAGCCCUGGGCUCAACCCCAGGAAGUGCACUCGAAACUGGCGAGCUAGAGUACUGGAGAGGUUGGUGGAAUUCUCGGUGUAGAGGUGAAAUUCGUAGAUAUCGAGAGGAACACCGGUGGCGAAGGCGGCCAACUGGACAGAUACUGACGCUGAGACUCGAAAGCGUGGGGGAGCAAACAGG